UCGAGAAUCUUCGGCAAUGGGGGAAACCCUGACCGAGCGACGCCGCGUGUGGGAUGAAGGCCCUUGGGUUGUAAACCACUGUCAGAGGGGAUGAAGUGCCAGAAAGCUAUCUUUCUGGUUUGACAUAGCCUCAGAGGAAGCACGGGCUAAGUUCGUGCCAGCAGCCGCGGUAAGACGAACUGUGCAAACGUUAUUCGGAAUCACUGGGCUUGAAGAGUGCGUAGGCGGUUUCGUAAGUAGGGUGUGAAAGCCCCCGGCCCAACCGGGGAACUGCGCCCUAAACUGCGAGGCUGGAGUGAGGUAGGGGUGUGUGGAACUUCCAGUGGAGCGGUGAAAUGUGUUGAUAUUGGAAGGAACGCCGGUGGCGAAAGCGACACACUGGACCUUGUCUGACGCUGAGGCACGAAAGCCAGGGGAGCAAACGGG
RNAcentral lists this ribosomal RNA (426 nucleotides) under uncultured bacterium. RNAcentral describes it as "bacterial SSU rRNA". It matches the Rfam family "Bacterial small subunit ribosomal RNA", at positions 355 to 776 of the family's 1533-position model. The record is from RNAcentral.